GCGGUCCUUCGGGGAUAGCGGCGGACGGGUGAGUAACACGUAGGCAACCUGCCUUUGAGACCGGGAUAACUAUCGGAAACGAUAGCUAAGACCGGAUAGCUGGUUUUCUCGCAUGAGAGGAUCAUGAAACACGGAGCAAUCUGUGGCUUGAAGAUGGGCCUGCGGCGCAUUAGCUAGUUGGUAGGGUAACGGCCUACCAAGGCGACGAUGCGUAGCCGACCUGAGAGGGUGAACGGCCACACUGGGACUGAGACACGGCCCAGACUCCUACGGGAGGCAGCAGUAGGGAAUCUUCCGCAAUGGACGCAAGUCUGACGGAGCAACGCCGCGUGAGUGAUGAAGGUUUUCGGAUCGUAAAGCUCUGUUGCCCUAGACGAACAGCAGCAGGAGUAACUGCCUGUUGUGUGACGGUAUAGGAGAAGAAAGCCCCGGCUAACUACGUGCCAGCAGCCGCGGUAAUACGUAGGGGGCAAGCGUUGUCCGGAAUUAUUGGGCGUAAAGCGCGCGCAGGCGGUUCGUUAAGUUGGGUGUUUAAGCCCGGGGCUCAACCCCGGUUCGCAUCCAAAACUGGCGAACUUGAGUGUAGGA
Molecule: ribosomal RNA, 588 nt
Filed under: uncultured Paenibacillus sp.
Lineage: Bacteria; Bacillati; Bacillota; Bacilli; Caryophanales; Paenibacillaceae
Description: bacterial SSU rRNA
Rfam family: Bacterial small subunit ribosomal RNA
Source: RNAcentral